UAAGCAAAUUAAUGGAAGGGGCCUAAUAAAUAUUUGUUAAGUUGAAUGAAAAUGUCAGAAACAGAUGACCGUGAAAUCUUCAAACUGUAAAAGUAUGUGGGUUUAGGAGGAUAGUGAAAUUGAGUGAAAGCUGCCUUAUUAUCAACAUCGUCCAGGAAGGAUUAAAAGCUCGUACUUGUGGUGGGAGGGGCAACUGGGCCAGGAAACUCGGACUUUCGCAGAAACAUUCGGGGCUGCGCAAGUACCCACCCCCCAUCCUCGCCCCUAGGACUGCAUCUGGGAGGCGAGCUGGCCCUACCACCCCGUUUGGACCCUUGUCUACUACGCAGCCGCCCACUUUCCGCAAGGAGGAUGGCGCUCGCUCGGAUCUCCGCGUUCCCUCUUCCCUUGGGGACUCCAUAGUAUUUUUUUCACGCUUCGUCGCUACUACUCAUUAUUUGCCUUACCGGUCUCCGGUGCCUUGCCUGUAACCAAAACGCUUUCAGAUCGCAGCAAGGUCGAUUUAAGCACAGCCUUUCUUAAGGUGGCGUGACUGUGACUCAUUUACUCUUCCAGAGUAACAAAGCAACAAAAUGGUGCUCCCACAUAUUAAUUGAAGAAAGAUUCAGGGUGUGUAGGGGAGAGAAAUAUUAAUUUUCUACUUUUAUGUAAGAUAUUAAUUCCAUGAAUAAAAUCAAACUCUUGUGGUAUGUUGUAAUACUCUAGAAUAUCUCCUU
Long non-coding RNA from Herpailurus yagouaroundi (jaguarundi), 716 nucleotides. RefSeq lists it as uncharacterized. The record is from RefSeq and is a predicted model, not a curated record. Lineage: Eukaryota; Metazoa; Chordata; Mammalia; Carnivora; Felidae. The transcript has 2 exons.